AAUAGCCUAACGGCUGAACCAGCAACUUGGAGGAAUGUAUAGCUAAUGCUAAAUGUAUUUUGUAAUAAUACAGAUUCGAUUUAUUCGUAUAAAGUUCUAGAUAGAAUUAUGAUAAUGACAUUGUCUAUCUAUAAGUCUUGGCCAAAUUACGUGCCAGCAGUCGCGGUAAGACGUAAAAGACUAGUGUUAUUCAUCUUUAAUAGGUUUAAAGCGUACCUAGACGGUAAAUCAAGCCUUAACCGGGACUAAUUUAACUAGAGUUAGAUGUAAGGGUGCAUUAACGUACUGUUGAGUGUAGAGAUGAAAUUCUUUUAUACCAGAUUAUUGGCACGGGUUUAGGCGAAAGCAUCACCUUAUGUAAUAACUGACGUUGAGGGACGAAGGCUUUGUGUCGCGAACAGGAUUAGGUACCCCAGUAGUCUAAGCAGAAAAUGAUGAGUGUCAUAGGUUAAAUAUUAUUUGGUCUAUAAAUGAAAGUGUAAGCAUUCCACCUCAAGAGUAAUUUGGCAACAUUGGAAUUGAAAUCAUUAGACCGUUUCUGAAACCAGUAGUGAAGUAUGUUGUUUAAUUUGAUAAUACACAAAAAACCUUACCACAAUUUGAAUAUUUUACAAGUGUUGCACGGCUGUCUUCAGUUAAUGUCGUGAGAUUAUGGUUAGUUCCAUUAAAUUAACGUAAACCCUUACUUUAUUUUAUAAAAUAUAAAGUUGUUCGCCGCWNGAUUGGUUAGAUAAAAGGGACUAAGACAAGUCAUCAUGGCCUUAA
This 765-nucleotide ribosomal RNA is filed under the name Scytinium quadrifidum. RNAcentral's name for it is "mitochondrial SSU rRNA". It matches the Rfam family "Bacterial small subunit ribosomal RNA", at positions 370 to 1204 of the family's 1533-position model. Lineage: Eukaryota; Fungi; Ascomycota; Lecanoromycetes; Peltigerales; Collemataceae. The record is from RNAcentral.